Molecule: long non-coding RNA, 402 nt
Organism: Alexandromys fortis (reed vole)
Lineage: Eukaryota; Metazoa; Chordata; Mammalia; Rodentia; Cricetidae
Exons: 3
Source: RefSeq, a predicted model, not a curated record
UUCCCUAUGCAGUCUGUGAGGAGCGUCCAGAUAUAAGUAGAGCAGGGGUGCUGGGAGCGAAUGAGUGGUUCAAAGACUGAGCUGAGGCAUCAUGGGAAGUGGGGCCUGGCUGGAGUCAGGUGGGCACCUGGGAUGUGACUUUGGGACUGGAUGGACCAAAUCACAGAACACUGUAAACAAAACAAAUCUAUCCUCAUUGGUCAAAAUAUGCUGAAAGCUGGGUAUUGAGAAGAUACCUUUUGAAUGCACUUCAAGACAAGGCUAGGAGGGAGGCUGCUCUGACCCAGGACUGGGGAACUCUCUGCUCCCAUUUGGGGUUCUCCUCCUGCAUCUUUGACUCCUCAGCAGGCCUCAGCAUAGAGGCCCUGGAGUCCUAGGCCAUGAGCAGUAGCAGAGAACAGA